Triticum aestivum (bread wheat) is the source of this 829-nucleotide long non-coding RNA. RefSeq lists it as uncharacterized. Lineage: Eukaryota; Viridiplantae; Streptophyta; Magnoliopsida; Poales; Poaceae. The record is from RefSeq and is a predicted model, not a curated record. The transcript has 2 exons.
UAUUUAUUUUUUCUUAUUGACACAUUUAUUUAGUUCAGAGGAAUACCAGUCAUUUACAAACACAACUGAUGGCAAUGUUCGCAUGGAUUAGAAAGAAAAAAUAGUGAUGCCAAAAUAUAAUUUGAUCACACCGCAUUACAAUGUUGUGGUUUGCCAAAGAACUGAGCAAUGGUUCACAUGGAUUGCUGAAAAUAUUAGUAACAGAAUGACAAGUGCAUCAUAAGAACUAAAUAAUCUGGAACUUAUAUAUAUAUAUUUUAAAUUAUGCAUUCAUUGCUGAAAAUAUUGUUUGAUGUAUGCAUCACCUCUCUUCCAUUUAACUAGAUUGCUAUAUCUUAUACUAGGAUGUCGAUGCCGAUGCUUCUCUGGCUGCUACUGAGGAUGGCAGUGAUCCUUUCACCCACCUAAAAUCAAAGACGGGUUGUUCUUCCCAUCGCUUGUUUAUUUAUGCUAUGAAGUAAACAGGUACAAUGAUCCUCUUUCGCUAAACAUGGGUGUCUGGAACUUAAGGAACAAUAGUGGUGGGAAAGCAGCUGGAGGAAACAAGAAAGCGCAGUAACUACUUUCCUAUGGUACUUGUUGCGUGCUUGUUGCUGAUUGCACACCCUAUGGUGCUUGAUGCCGAUUGCAAUGGCAACGCUUCAUCUCCGCAGGCGAUCCAAGCUGUGCUCGUCAUCUACACUAGUGUUAAAACUAUAUUCAGGCGUGACUAUAUGCAUGCCAUUUGUGUAAUAGAAUAUUUAUAGCAAAUAUCCACUAUAAUUUAUUCUUUCGUGUAGGCACAUGCCUUUUCUCUCUUUAACACAGUACAUUAGUUAAGAAUUUUCAA